AGUGAACGCUGGCGGUAGGCCUAACACAUGCAAGUCGAACGGCAGCACAGUAAGAGCUUGCUCUUACGGGUGGCGAGUGGCGGACGGGUGAGGAAUACAUCGGAAUCUACUUUUUCGUGGGGGAUAACGUAGGGAAACUUACGCUAAUACCGCAUACGACCUACGGGUGAAAGCAGGGGAUCUUCGGACCUUGCGCGAUUGAAUGAGCCGAUGUCGGAUUAGCUAGUUGGCGGGGUAAAGGCCCACCAAGGCGACGAUCCGUAGCUGGUCUGAGAGGAUGAUCAGCAAAACUGGAACGGAGAAACGGUCCAGACUCCAACGGGAGGAAGCAGUGGGGAAUAUGGGACAAGGGGCGAAAGCCUGAUCCAGCCAUACCGCGUGGGUGAAGAAGGCCUUCGGGUUGUAAAGCCCUUUUGUUGGGAAAGAAAAGCAGCAGGUUAAGACCCCGCUGUUCUGACGGUACCCAAAGAAUAAGCACCGGCUAACUUCGG
Molecule: ribosomal RNA, 491 nt
Filed under: uncultured bacterium
Lineage: Bacteria
Description: partial 16S ribosomal RNA
Rfam family: Bacterial small subunit ribosomal RNA
Source: RNAcentral